AGAUUAUGAAUUUGGCAAACUUCCGUGUUUAUUCAAUACCAACACCAAGUCCGAGCUACAUUUUUGACAGUAGCUAAAAAUGCCCUUAAUGGAUUAGCUCUAUAUCGCUUGAAAUUUCCUCAAACACCAGCAAACAAGUAACCACGAUGCAAUAAGAAACAAAUCGAGAAGAUCAUGUGAAAGCGAUAAUGCGAAAGAAUGAUCAGAAGAAGAAAAACGGAAAAAGAAGAAUUAGCAUACUAGAGAGAGCGAGAACCCUA
RNAcentral lists this unclassified non-coding RNA (260 nucleotides) under Hevea brasiliensis (rubber tree). Lineage: Eukaryota; Viridiplantae; Streptophyta; Magnoliopsida; Malpighiales; Euphorbiaceae. The record is from RNAcentral.